Oryza nivara is the source of this 205-nucleotide non-coding RNA. NCBI's taxonomy places the organism in Eukaryota, Viridiplantae, Streptophyta, Magnoliopsida, Poales, Poaceae. The record is from Rfam.
UUUAAGUGCAACCAUAAAUUCUCAUGCACAAUUUUGAUCGUUCAUCUUAUUUGAAAUUUUUUUACAAUCAGUACUUUUAUUGUUAUGAGAUGAUAAAACAUGAAUAAUUCUUUAUAUGUGAUUUAUGUUUUUAAUUUUUUUCAAAAAGCUUUCAAAUGAGACGGACAAUCAAAAUUGUGCACGGAAAAUCAUGACUGCAAUUAAA